GUAUCUCUGUGAGUGUAGAAGCACGAAUAUCAUCAGAGAGGAGAGAGGAGCAAUCAAUCCACUCUCGUCUUCUCCUUUGUUAGCUUCGGAAUCUUCUUCUUCUUCUUCAAUACAGCUUCGACACUAGAAAUUCAAAAGAUUUAUUUCCAACGUGGCCUUGGGUGAAUGCUGAAGGGAUCGACUUGGGACCAAAGUAUCCUCUGCGAUGCCACGAGCUGCUUGAUCGUGAACAAGAACGGUACACGCUCCCCACCAGGAAGUUGUGUACUGUCACUGCUGCGUAAUCAACUUCGAAAGGGCCUUCGAUUUCAUCGAGUGUGUAGGUAAGGCUAGUCAUGAGCUUUGUGCUUUGGAAAUCUGGUGUGGUGCUACUAACUACUUGAGCUUUGACGGUGAAUGAUUACAAGAAUAUACACUUUUGGAUACGAACAACGGCACGUAGUUCAAUGCUAGGAGGUGAUAGAAAUUUGUGUUGCUUUAUUGUUUGGUGUUAAUGAAAUGAAAAACAAUUUUCAAAAAACAACUAUUAGUCAUGAUCAAUUAAAAAG
Molecule: long non-coding RNA, 548 nt
Filed under: Arabidopsis thaliana (thale cress)
Lineage: Eukaryota; Viridiplantae; Streptophyta; Magnoliopsida; Brassicales; Brassicaceae
Description: ncRNA (AT4G37225)
Source: RNAcentral